This 389-nucleotide unclassified non-coding RNA is filed under the name Hevea brasiliensis (rubber tree). Lineage: Eukaryota; Viridiplantae; Streptophyta; Magnoliopsida; Malpighiales; Euphorbiaceae. The record is from RNAcentral.
GAAGUAGUGGCGUGGCCUCUCUACUAUCUCCAACAGCAGCGCAAUUCAACAGCAUCCUAAAAUUCUUUAGCUGUCUGCUUUAAGGCCUGCUUCUACUUUCUACCAUAACUCACGUUCUUUCAUUAACUGCUAAGGUGCAAUGCAUAUUUUGUAAACAUCCCAGAUGAAUAAGGUAGCACUCUGCAUCUGGAAUCUGGAUCAUUUCCCUAUAUUUAUCAGAGUUUGUGGAAUGGGGAUUAUUGAUAUCUUGCUGCGCUGUCAUGAAUUUUGGUUAACUGCAAGGCCUGGUGUUCUAGUAGGUGCCAUUGAAAGCAGGCCUUCUGGCUCCUCUGCAGCUGGGCUUGAAGAGUGCGAGUUUUGUGAUUGAAAAUAAAUUGGGAGAAGCCUCU